RNAcentral lists this unclassified non-coding RNA (471 nucleotides) under Hevea brasiliensis (rubber tree). Lineage: Eukaryota; Viridiplantae; Streptophyta; Magnoliopsida; Malpighiales; Euphorbiaceae. The record is from RNAcentral.
AUGAGAAUGAACUAGUGAUAGAACCAGCAUUCAGAUGGGCUGGCAAUCCUAACAUAGUAAUGGUGGUGAAUAUCAUGUCUCUCCGGAUCACAUUUCAGAUAGUGGAUCUUCAGAUGUUUGCUACGCCACGGUUGGCUUUGAAGCCUCUUGUGCCUACUUUUCCUUGUUUUGCCAAUAUUGUAGCGUCUUUAAUGGAGAAACCACAAAUAGACUUUGGAUUGAAGAUAAUGGGAGGAGACAUUAUGUCUAUACCUGGCCUUUAUCGAUAUAUUCAGGAGACAUUAAAGAAACAAGUUGCAAGCCUCUACCUCUGGCCCCGGAUUCUUGAAAUUCCUAUGCUUGAUCCUUCGAUAUUGUCCACAAGAAAGCCAGUGGGCAUAUUGCAUGUGAAGGUUGUACGAGCAUCAAAACUCUUGAAAAUGGAUAUCUUGGGAACCUCUGAUCCAUAUGUCAAGCUCAGCCUGACUGGUG